RNAcentral lists this ribosomal RNA (571 nucleotides) under Dothiorella gregaria. RNAcentral's name for it is "eukaryotic LSU rRNA". The stretch from base 199 to 352 matches the Rfam family "5.8S ribosomal RNA". Lineage: Eukaryota; Fungi; Ascomycota; Dothideomycetes; Botryosphaeriales; Botryosphaeriaceae. The record is from RNAcentral.
GCAUGGACUUUUAGCUAUUCUGAAGCGAAGCGGGUGACUCCAAUGAAGGCUCAUCCAGGCUGAGCGAAGUUUAGAGGGUUAAAUUGGUCGGCACGCGCAGAAACGCCCCCCUCCCCGGGGGGGUGGCCAGCGCCCGCCAGAGGACCAUCAAACUCCAGUCAGUAAACGAUGCAGUCUGAAAAACAUUUAAUAAACUAAAACUUUCAACAACGGAUCUCUUGGUUCUGGCAUCGAUGAAGAACGCAGCGAAAUGCGAUAAGUAAUGUGAAUUGCAGAAUUCAGUGAAUCAUCGAAUCUUUGAACGCACAUUGCGCCCUUUGGUAUUCCGAAGGGCAUGCCUGUUCGAGCGUCAUUACAACCCUCAAGCUCUGCUUGGUAUUGGGCACCGUCCUUUGCGGGCGCGCCUCAAAGACCUCGGCGGUGGCGUCUUGCCUCAAGCGUAGUAGAACAUACAUCUCGCUUCGGAGCGCAGGGCGUCGCCCGCCGGACGAACCUUCUGAACUUUUCUCAAGGUUGACCUCGGAUCAGGUAGGGAUACCCGCUGAACUUAAGCAUAUCAAUAAGCGGAGGA